Molecule: transfer RNA, 74 nt
Filed under: Nelumbo nucifera (sacred lotus)
Lineage: Eukaryota; Viridiplantae; Streptophyta; Magnoliopsida; Proteales; Nelumbonaceae
Rfam family: tRNA
About the family: Transfer RNA (tRNA) molecules are approximately 80 nucleotides in length. Their secondary structure includes four short double-helical elements and three loops (D, anti-codon, and T loops).
Source: Rfam by way of RNAcentral
GGGCCUGUAACUCAGAGGAUUAGAGCACGUGGCUAYGAACCACGGUGUCGGGGGUUCGAAUCCUUCCUCGCCCA